GACUCAGUAGCUAAGUGGAUAAAGCGAUGGCUUUUGAAGCGAACGUUACAGGGUUCGAUUUCCAGAGUG
Molecule: transfer RNA, 69 nt
Filed under: Schistosoma mansoni
Lineage: Eukaryota; Metazoa; Platyhelminthes; Trematoda; Strigeidida; Schistosomatidae
Source: RNAcentral